ACGAACGCUGGCGGCAGGCCUAACACAUGCAAGUCGAACGCUCGUAGCAAUACGAGAGUGGCAGACGGGUGAGUAACACGUGGGAACCUUCCCUAUGGUUCGGAAUAGCUCAGGGAAACUUGAGGUAAUACCGGAUAAGCCCUUACGGGGAAAGAUUUAUCGCCAUUGGAUGGGCCCGCGUCGGAUUAGCUAGUUGGUGAGGUAACGGCUCACCAAGGCGACGAUCCGUAGCUGGUCNGAGAGGAUGAUCAGCCACACUGGGACUGAGACACGGCCCAGACUCCGUACGGGAGGCAGCAGGUGGGGAAUAUUGGACAAUGGGCGCAAGCCUGAUCCAGCCAUGCCGCGUGAGUGACGAA
RNAcentral lists this ribosomal RNA (359 nucleotides) under uncultured bacterium. RNAcentral's name for it is "bacterial SSU rRNA". It matches the Rfam family "Bacterial small subunit ribosomal RNA", at positions 29 to 412 of the family's 1533-position model. The record is from RNAcentral.